UACGGGGGGAGCAAGCGUUGUUCGGAUUUACUGGGCGUAAAGGGCGCGUAGGCGGCCUUCUAAGUCGAACGUGAAAUCCCCGGGCUCAACCCGGGAACUGCGUCCGAUACUGGAAGGCUUGAAUCCGGGAGAGGGAUGCGGAAUUCCAGGUGUAGCGGUGAAAUGCGUAGAUAUCUGGAGGAACACCGGUGGCGAAGGCGGCAUCCUGGACCGGCAUUGACGCUGAGGCGCGAAAGCGUGGGGAGCAAACAGG
RNAcentral lists this ribosomal RNA (253 nucleotides) under uncultured bacterium. RNAcentral's name for it is "partial 16S ribosomal RNA". It matches the Rfam family "Bacterial small subunit ribosomal RNA", at positions 524 to 776 of the family's 1533-position model. The record is from RNAcentral.